GUACCACUAUAACAACCUGUUUAAUUUUAUUUGUGCAAUGCUGAAAUGGCCAAGAGUGAAGAGUUCCUGAUUUAAUAUAUUGAAAUCGCCUUUCCUAAAUUACAGGUUGUAAAUAUUGGUGUAACUUGCUUCAAGACCAUCUGUAAUGUGAUAUUGCGAGCCUUGUAUUCUAAAUAGGAAGUCGGGGUCUUCGACUCUUUCGAGAUUCCUUUAUGUGAUUAACAUAAACUAAGGUGGAUCCAAGAAGACCCUAAAACAAUAUGAGUUGUGGGCCUUACCUAGCUGUUUUGGACCAUGAAUUUGAGAAGACUUUGCAUUUGUUGUGUGGUGACAAAUACUAUUUACAAGCUUCAGAAAAAGGUUUCAGAGAUUUGAUUGGACGCAUCCAAGAAGAUGAAAGUGG
This is a long non-coding RNA of Dendronephthya gigantea, 403 nucleotides long. RefSeq lists it as uncharacterized. Lineage: Eukaryota; Metazoa; Cnidaria; Anthozoa; Malacalcyonacea; Nephtheidae. The transcript has 4 exons. The record is from RefSeq and is a predicted model, not a curated record.